Molecule: ribosomal RNA, 253 nt
Filed under: uncultured bacterium
Lineage: Bacteria
Description: partial 16S ribosomal RNA
Rfam family: Bacterial small subunit ribosomal RNA
Source: RNAcentral
UACGUAGGUGGCAAGCGUUGUCCGGAUUUACUGGGCGUAAAGCGUGCGCAGGCGGUUCUGAAAGUCAGCUGUGAAAGCCCCGGGCUUAACCUGGGAACUGCGGUUGAAACUACAGGACUAGAAUCUGGCAGAGGGGGGUGGAAUUCCACGUGUAGCAGUGAAAUGCGUAGAGAUGUGGAGGAACACCGAUGGCGAAGGCAGCCCCCUGGGCUGAGAUUGACGCUCAGGCACGAAAGCGUGGGGAGCAAACAGG